GACGAACGCUGGCGGCGUGCUUAACACAUGCAAGUCGAACGGAAAGGCCCUGCUUUUGUGGGGUUCUCGAGUGGCGAACGGGUGAGUAACACGUGAGUAACCUGCCCUUGACUUUGGGAUAACUUCAGGAAACUGGGGCUAAUACCGGAUAGGAGCUCCUGCUGCAUGGUGGGGGUUGGAAAGUUUCGGCGGUUGGGGAUGGACUCGCGGCUUAUCAGCUUGUUGGUGGGGUAGUGGCUUACCAAGGCUUUGACGGGUAGCCGGCCUGAGAGGGUGACCGGGCACAUUGGGACUGAGAGACGGCCCAGACUGGUACGGGAGGCAGCAGUGGGAAAUAUUGCACAAUGGGCGGAAGCCUGAUGCAGCAACGCCGCGUGCGGGAUGACGGCCUUCGGGUUGUAAACCGCUUUCGCCUGUGACGAAGCGUGAGUGACGGUAAUGGGUAAAGAAGCACCGGCUAACUACGUG
This 468-nucleotide ribosomal RNA is filed under the name uncultured bacterium. Its description in RNAcentral is "partial 16S ribosomal RNA". It matches the Rfam family "Bacterial small subunit ribosomal RNA", at positions 28 to 507 of the family's 1533-position model. The record is from RNAcentral.